Molecule: RNA transcript, 1516 nt
Organism: Coccinella septempunctata (seven-spotted ladybird)
Lineage: Eukaryota; Metazoa; Arthropoda; Insecta; Coleoptera; Coccinellidae
Exons: 2
Source: RefSeq, a predicted model, not a curated record
GACUCAUUAGUGAAAUAAAUGAUAAAAACCUGAUUUUGAAGCAAAAUAAUCAACUUUUAUUUGAAAAGAUUAAAAGGUUAGAAAAUGAUGAUCCUAAAAAAGUGGAGUCCAAACAUGAAAAAAAUUGUCAAAUCAUAAACAAUAAAAACAUUGAAAGCAAUGACAAUUUAACAGUCACAGAAAUACCCAUGUCUCGUAUAACCUCGAACUGGAAACCACAGAACACAUUUACAUCAAACAAUAAACAAAACCCCAAAAUGCAUGAGAGAGAUCUCAGCAAAAAUCAAAAAUUAACGACAACUUCUACGGGAAAAGGGCAUGAUGUGGAAUGUAAAGGUAAACAACAACAAUCACCUAAUAUUGCAAGAAUGCAAGAAAAUAGAAUAAACCCACUUGAUCAUGGUACUGUGGAUCUCACUGGCGUACUUGAGGACAGAAUUCAGUUUUCAGGAGGAGACGGUCAGCAAAUGGGAGAAUGGAAUCUAGUAGGACAUAAAAGGAAAACUUCAAAACGGUCAAGACCAGCUCCAAUUAAAGGAGAAUUAGAAAAAUUCAACUUGACAGUAGCCGAGAACCAAUGUUGUCUGUUCGUGUCGGGUCUGAAUCCAGAUGUAGUUGCUCAAGAAGUGAAGGAAUACAUAGAUGAGACCUUCAACAUAAAAUGCAAAUGUGAAAAAAUGAAGACUAAAAAAGAUAAAUUCAAAAGCUCUUUUAAAAUAUAUGUCCCAGUUGAUUCAAAGGACAAAGUUAUGAAUGGAAGUAUGUGGGGAAAGGGGAUUAUUGUUAACCAUUUUUUACACCUCAGAAGAAACAUCGACAGAGAAUUGAAUUAAGUGAUUGCUUAAAUAUAUUGCAUCAGAAUAUACAAUGCCUGAGAAACAAACUGCCUGAAAUAGAACUCUUGGUAGAAGAACUCGAAAAACCUCCUGAUAUUAUGUGUUUCACUGAACACUGGAUGGAUGGGCAGGAAAUUCAGUUUUUGAAAAUCCCAAAAUAUAAUGUUAUAUCAAAUUUCUCCAGGGAACAGUAUAUCCAUGGGGGAACAUGUAUUUUAAUCAGGGAUAACAUUCAUGAUUUUGAAGACAUUCCAGAUAUCACCAACUUAAGUGUGGAAAAGCAGAUUGAGGUAUCUUGUGUGUACAGCAAAUCGAGGAAAUUAAUGGUCUUGUCUGUAUAUAGAACUUGUCGGGGAAGUAUACAGUUUGUUCACAGCUUACAGGAUGUAUCUUGGCAGGAUGUGAUGAACGAAAUGGAUACGGAAAGAGCAUAUAACGGUUUCUCAGAGAUAAUGAAGAUUCACUUAAACCUUAUCUUCCCACAAAAAAAAUGCACUGCCAGUAGGAACACAAAAUCAUGGAUUACUACUGGGAUAAGAACAUCAAGUAAGCGAAAAAGAGUAAUUUGGAAUGAAGUACAGGAAGGAAAAAUAACACUUGAUUACUAUAGAAAAUACUGUCGAAUACUCAAGCAAGUUACUAGACAGGCUAAAUGGAUGAGCAACAGGAAGUAUAUAAUG